ACUGCCUCGCCCCUGCGCGGGGCCGCCUUGACCCAGGCCUUCCAGGUCCGGUGCUCGCUCCUAUUGGCAUUCGCUGGGCCCUUCCGAUCGGUUCGCCUCACUGCAGACAGCGUGACAUUUUCAGACUGAGUUUUGCUCUUGUUGCCCAGGUUGGAGUGUAAUGGCACACUCUCGGCUCACUGCAACCUCUGCCUCCAGGAUUCAAGCAAUUCUCCUGCCUCAGCCUCCAAGUAGCUGGGAUUACAGGUUAGGCCUUCCCAAGUUCCCAGCAAUCUGAGACUUACCUGUCUGUUGGAAAAGAGCCUGAGCAAAGAGCAAGUGCUUCUUCCAUUGGAUCACCCACGCUGCUCUCCUUCUCCUGUUUAUUUAACUCUGAUGAGCCUGGAGUGGAGGCAUCUACAACACAACAAGGAUAAGAUGUGUGUCACCAAGGAAUGACAGCUUUAUACUCUUUUCUCAGCGAUCUAAAGUCAUGCCAGCUCGACACAGUUCUAAGAAGAGAAAGCACAGAUGGAGUGACAGAAGCUCACUUAUUUUUAAACAAAAUUAAGCGGUACCCAGCACCAUUCCCACCCACAGAAACACAAAACUACCUACCCAUCUGCAUCCAACAGUUGGCUCUGAG
Molecule: long non-coding RNA, 625 nt
Organism: Callithrix jacchus (white-tufted-ear marmoset)
Lineage: Eukaryota; Metazoa; Chordata; Mammalia; Primates; Cebidae
Source: RefSeq, a predicted model, not a curated record